UACAGAGGGUGCGAGCGUUAAUCGGAAUUACUGGGCGUAAAGCGCGCGUAGGCGGCUUGUUAAGUCAAAUGUGAAAUCCCCGAGCUUAACUUGGGCAUUGCAUUCGAUACUGGCAAGCUAGAGUAUGGGAGAGGAAGGUAGAAUUCCAGGUGUAGCGGUGAAAUGCGUAGAGAUCUGGAGGAAUACCGAUGGCGAAGGCAGCCUUCUGGCCUAAUACUGACGCUGAGGCGCGAAAGCGUGGGGAGCAAACAGG
RNAcentral lists this ribosomal RNA (253 nucleotides) under uncultured bacterium. Its description in RNAcentral is "partial 16S ribosomal RNA". It matches the Rfam family "Bacterial small subunit ribosomal RNA", at positions 524 to 776 of the family's 1533-position model. The record is from RNAcentral.